Molecule: unclassified non-coding RNA, 337 nt
Filed under: soil metagenome
Description: partial contains 5.8S ribosomal RNA, internal transcribed spacer 2, and large subunit ribosomal RNA
Rfam family: 5.8S ribosomal RNA (bases 1-120)
Source: RNAcentral
GAUGAAGAACGUAGCGAAAUGCGAUAAGUAGUGUGAAUUGCAGAAUUCAGUGAAUCAUCGAAUCUUUGAACGCACAUUGCGCCCCUUGGUAUUCCAUGGGGCAUGCCUGUUCGAGCGUCAUUUGUACCUUCAAACUCUGCUUGGUGUUGGGUGUUUGUCUCGCCUCUGCGUGUAGACUCGCCUCAAAACAAUUGGCAGCCGGCGUAUUGAUUUCGGAGCGCAGUACAUCUCGCGCUUUGCACUCAUAACGACGACGUCCAAAAGUACAUUUUUACACUCUUGACCUCGGAUCAGGUAGGGAUACCCGCUGAACUUAAGCAUAUCAAUAAGCGGAGGA